UGGGGAAUAUUGCACAAUGGGCGCAAGCCUGAUGCAGCGACGCCGCGUGCGGGAUGGAGGCCUUCGGGUUGUAAACCGCUUUUGUUCAAGGGCAAGGCACGGCUCGGGCCGUGUUGAGUGGAUUGUUCGAAUAAGCACCAGCUAAACUACGUGCC
This 155-nucleotide ribosomal RNA is filed under the name uncultured bacterium. RNAcentral's name for it is "partial 16S ribosomal RNA". It matches the Rfam family "Bacterial small subunit ribosomal RNA", at positions 355 to 509 of the family's 1533-position model. The record is from RNAcentral.